GUGCCAGCAGCCGCGGUAAUACGAAGGGUGCUAGCGUUGUUCGGAAUUACUGGGCGUAAAGCGCGCGUAGGCGGCUUUUCAAGUCAGGGGUGAAAUCCCACAGCUUAACUGUGGAACUGCCUUUGAAACUGUAAAGCUAGAGUGUCGGAGGGGAUAGCGGAAUUGCUAAUGUAGAGGUGAAAUUCGUAGAUAUUAGCAGGAACACCGGUGGCGAAGGCGGCUAUCUGGACGACAACUGACGCUGAGGCGCGAAAGCGUGGGGAUCAAACAGGAUUAGAAACCCUAGUAGUCC
This 292-nucleotide ribosomal RNA is filed under the name uncultured bacterium. RNAcentral's name for it is "partial 16S ribosomal RNA". It matches the Rfam family "Bacterial small subunit ribosomal RNA", at positions 505 to 796 of the family's 1533-position model. The record is from RNAcentral.